RNAcentral lists this non-coding RNA (30 nucleotides) under Rattus norvegicus (Norway rat). Lineage: Eukaryota; Metazoa; Chordata; Mammalia; Rodentia; Muridae. The record is from RNAcentral.
UAAAUUCCCAAGUGUGCUACAAGUGGGCAC